UGGGGAAUUUUGGACAAUGGGGGCAACCCUGAUCCAGCCAUGCCGCGUGAGUGAAGAAGGCCUUCGGGUUGUAAAGCUCUUUCGGCCGGGAAGAAAUCGCGUUGGCUAAUAUCCAGCGUGGAUGACGGUACCGGAAUAAGAAGCACCGGCUAACUACGUGCCAGCAGCCGCGGUAAUACGUAGGGUGCGAGCGUUAAUCGGAAUUACUGGGCGUAAAGCGUGCGCAGGCGGUUUUUUAAGACAGGCGUGAAAUCCCCGGGCUUAACCUGGGAACUGCGCUUGUGACUGGAAGACUCGAGGACGGCAGAGGGGGGUGGAAUUCCACGUGUAGCAGUGAAAUGCGUAGAGAUGUGGAGGAACACCAAUGGCGAAGGCAGCCCCCUGGGUCGAUACUGACGCU
RNAcentral lists this ribosomal RNA (400 nucleotides) under uncultured bacterium. Its description in RNAcentral is "bacterial SSU rRNA". It matches the Rfam family "Bacterial small subunit ribosomal RNA", at positions 355 to 747 of the family's 1533-position model. The record is from RNAcentral.